GUCCUUUUGAUUUUUAUAUAAGGUCUGACCUGCCCUAUGAAUAUUUAAAUGGCCGCGGUAUACUAACCGUGCAAAGGUAGCAUAGUCAUUUGUCUCUUAAUUGGAGGCUUGAAUGAAGGGUUGGACGAGAUAUAAGCUUUCUUUGUUAUAUUUUAUUGAAUUUGACUUUUGAGUUAAAAGGCUUAAAUUUUUUUAUAGGACGAGAAGACCCUAUAGAAUUUUAUAUAUUUGUAUAAUUGAUUUAUUUAUUUAUUAUUUAAUUUCUUGUUUAAAUAUAUUUUGUUGGGGCGACGGGAAGAUUUUAAUAACUCUUUUUUGUUUUGAUCAUUGAUUUAUGUUUUAUUCUGAUCCUUUUUUAGAGAUUAUAAGAUUAAAUUACCUUAGGGAUAACAGCGUAAUUCUUUUGGAGAGUUCUUAUCGAUAAAAGAGUUUGCGA
RNAcentral lists this ribosomal RNA (436 nucleotides) under Appasus japonicus. RNAcentral describes it as "partial 16S ribosomal RNA". It matches the Rfam family "Bacterial large subunit ribosomal RNA", at positions 1819 to 2523 of the family's 2925-position model. Lineage: Eukaryota; Metazoa; Arthropoda; Insecta; Hemiptera; Belostomatidae. The record is from RNAcentral.